GAUGAACGCUGGCGGCGUGCCUAAUACAUGCAAGUCGAGCGAACGGACGAGAAGCUUGCUUCUCUGAUGUUAGCGGCGGACGGGUGAGUAACACGUGGAUAACCUACCUAUAAGACUGGGAUAACUUCGGGAAACCGGAGCUAAUACCGGCUAAUAUUUUGAACCGCAUGGUUCAAAAGUGAAAGACGGUCUUGCUGUCACUUAUAGAUGGAUCCGCGCUGCAUUAGCUAGUUGGUAAGGUAACGGCUUACCAAGGCAACGAUGCAUAGCCGACCUGAGAGGAUGAUCGGCCACACUGGAACUGAGACACGGUCCAGACUCCUACGGGAGGCAGCAGUAGGGAAUCUUCCGCAAUGGGCGAAAGCCUGACGGAGCAACGCCGCGUGAGUGAUGAAGGUCUUCGGAUCGUAAAACUCUGUUAUUAGGGAAGAACAUAUGUGUAAGUAACUGUGCACAUCUUGACGGUACCUAAUCAGAAAGCCACGGCUAACUACGUG
Molecule: ribosomal RNA, 497 nt
Filed under: uncultured bacterium
Lineage: Bacteria
Description: partial 16S ribosomal RNA
Rfam family: Bacterial small subunit ribosomal RNA
Source: RNAcentral